CUCUUUGCUCCCUUUGUCUGCAUCUCAGGGGGAAUUCCGGCUUUGCAAUGAGACUAUCAAUAAUACCGAACCUCAUGUGGCUGAAAUAUUUAGACUUUCACAUCGUCCGGUGCAUGUGAUGAAGAGAAGCUCUCCUCCAGCUGAUGACCGAGACCUGUGCUGUGAUUUCACGAGAUAUCCUCGGUACGGGAGACGACAUCGCUGUGGCCGCCUGAGAGGACUUGUGUGUCCGGAGCCGUCGGGGAUUGGCCGCGUGUCAUCCUGGGUCUUCAGAAGGAACAGUGAAGGAACGUUGUGUUGGGGACUUGGGGAUGAGAGGUU
This is a long non-coding RNA of Gasterosteus aculeatus aculeatus (three-spined stickleback), 321 nucleotides long. NCBI's taxonomy places the organism in Eukaryota, Metazoa, Chordata, Actinopteri, Perciformes, Gasterosteidae. The record is from Ensembl.